This 465-nucleotide ribosomal RNA is filed under the name uncultured bacterium. RNAcentral describes it as "partial 16S ribosomal RNA". It matches the Rfam family "Bacterial small subunit ribosomal RNA", at positions 28 to 507 of the family's 1533-position model. The record is from RNAcentral.
GACGAACGCUGGCGGCGUGCUUAACACAUGCAAGUCGAACGGAAAGGCCCCUUUGGGGGUACUCUAGUGGCGAACGGGUGAGUAACACGUGAGUAACCUUCCCUUGACUUCUGGAUAACUUCAGGAAACUGGGGCUAAUACCGGAUAGGAAUCCUUGCUGCAUGGUGGGGGUUGGAAAGCUUCGGCGGUUUUGGAUGGACUCGCGGCUUAUCAGCUUGUUGGUGGGGUAGUGGCUUACCAAGGCUUUGACGGGUAGCCGGCCUGAGAGGGCGACCGGCCACAUUGGGACUGAGAUACGGCCCAGACUCCUACGGGAGGCAGCAGUGGGGAAUAUUGCACAAUGGGCGGAAGCCUGAUGCAGCAACGCCGCGUGCGGGAUGACGGCCUUCGGGUUGUAAACCGCUUUCAGCAGGGGCGAAGCUUGUGGUGACGGUACCUGAAGAAGAAGCACCGGCUAACUACGUG